Molecule: non-coding RNA, 24 nt
Filed under: Arabidopsis thaliana (thale cress)
Lineage: Eukaryota; Viridiplantae; Streptophyta; Magnoliopsida; Brassicales; Brassicaceae
Source: RNAcentral
AUAGAAUCUCAGGUUAACCGGUCC